UCUUAUGACUCCACCGUCACAGUGACGUAGCUUCCUGUCCGGCGGCGGCGACGACGCUUUCUUUAAAAUGGCUGCGGCGGCUGUAGUGGAGACUUCUUCAGGUAAAGAUGCUGUCGCUGAAGGGCUGUUCGAUCUCCUUAAACCCGCUAUCCAGCAGCUCGACCUGCACGUACACUCAGUCAGAGAAAGCCAGGUAGAAUUAAGAGAACAUAUAGACAGCCUGGCCACAGAGUUAUGCAGGAUAAAUGAACAUCAGAAGGUGGCUCUAGACCUGGAUCCUUAUGUAAAGAAACUGCUGAACGCAAGACGCAGAGUAGUGCUAGUAAACAACAUACUGCAGAAUGCACAGUUGGCUAACUCAGCUCUCAUGCACAAAAGCAACAGCAGACAGACACAGUUAGAGACCAGCUGGUGAACAUAGUGGAGGAUUUCGCAGCUAAAGAGCCAGAGAUUUCCCUCGGGAGCUGGUAGAGACCAAACCAGAGCUAAGAACGUCUGAGGCGACUCCACCACAAUGUGGCAAAAGAGACGGCACGAAGAAAGACCAUGCUGGAGGCUUCAGGAGUAUUCACGUCCCG
Molecule: RNA transcript, 578 nt
Organism: Xiphias gladius (swordfish)
Lineage: Eukaryota; Metazoa; Chordata; Actinopteri; Istiophoriformes; Xiphiidae
Gene: snapin
Gene name: SNAP associated protein
Exons: 5
Source: RefSeq, a predicted model, not a curated record